UACAGAGGGUGCAAGCGUUAAUCGGAAUUACUGGGCGUAAAGCGCACGUAGGCGGUUGGUUAAGUCAGAUGUGAAAGCCCCGGGCUCAACCUGGGAAUUGCAUUUGAAACUGGGAAACUAGAGUGUGUGAGAGGGGGGUAGAAUUCCAAGUGUAGCGGUGAAAUGCGUAGAGAUUUGGAGGAAUACCAGUGGCGAAGGCGGCCCCCUGGCACAACACUGACGCUCAGGUGCGAAAGCGUGGGGAGCAAACAGG
Molecule: ribosomal RNA, 253 nt
Filed under: uncultured bacterium
Lineage: Bacteria
Description: partial 16S ribosomal RNA
Rfam family: Bacterial small subunit ribosomal RNA
Source: RNAcentral